GAUGAAGAACGCAGCGAAAUGCGAUACGUAAUGUGAAUUGCAGAUCUCUCAGUGAACCAUCGAAUUUUUGAACGCACAUAGCGCCCGCCGGUCAUUCCGGCGGGCAUGCCUGUCCGAGCGUCGAUGACGCCGCUCGAGCCCCCGUGCUCGGUGUUGGGGCGCUAGGUCUCCCAGAGGCCUAGGCCCCCAAGUAGCAGUGCGCGGUCCGGCUGCGGGCCCCGGGUACAGUAACUUCACUGUUGAGAUGCCCUGGGAGCCGCUGGCUGGGUCAGCCCUAAAACCCCCGACAUAGGCCUUCCUGUCCGCCCCCGGCGGGGAGGGAGACCGCCUAAUGUUGACCUCGGAUCAGGUAGGACUACCCGCUGAACUUAAGCAUAUCAAUAAGCGGAGGA
This 392-nucleotide unclassified non-coding RNA is filed under the name soil metagenome. Its description in RNAcentral is "partial contains 5.8S ribosomal RNA, internal transcribed spacer 2, and large subunit ribosomal RNA". The stretch from base 1 to 123 matches the Rfam family "5.8S ribosomal RNA", at positions 35 to 154 of the family's 154-position model. The record is from RNAcentral.